Molecule: RNA transcript, 3266 nt
Organism: Anguilla anguilla (European eel)
Lineage: Eukaryota; Metazoa; Chordata; Actinopteri; Anguilliformes; Anguillidae
Gene: rgs7a
Gene name: regulator of G protein signaling 7a
Exons: 18
Source: RefSeq, a predicted model, not a curated record
GCCUCACUGAACGAAUUUAGAAGACUGUCGUUUGUAGAUUGGAAAUAAUGAUGACAGAUAUUAACUGAAUUAUUUAUAUGGCAGAUGAUUCGUCGAAGAUUCCGUCACGUUGAUAUAUAAAACGGCAAACCUCUUGGAAGAUAACAAACCAGAAGGGAGUAUUUAUACAACUACUACGCUUCGAAAUACGACAUUCAGUUGUUAUAUUUGCCGUCAUUUAGGCACGUGCAUGGCUUUUAUGAUUUUAGGAGGCUUAUGAGAAAAACGCGCUGAAUUAAUGUUCUUUUCAACACUACUGUUGUCCCUCUCUCAGCCGUACUUGACUACAUUGUGGCUGCUCAAAGUUUUGGACCAUGGCGCAGACAAACAAUUCUGGGCAAAGCACCAGUGGAGUAGCAGACGAAUCCCCCAACAUGCUUGUCUACAGAAAGAUGGAAAAUGUAAUAGCACGCAUGCAGGAUGAAAAAAGCGGAAUUCCGAUCCGCACAGUGAAAAGUUUUUUAUCCAAGAUCCCCAGUGUUUUCUCAGGUUCGGAUAUUGUCCAAUGGAUGAUGAAAAACCUGGGUAUCGAAGAUCAAGUGGAGGCUCUCCAUCUCGGCACAUUAAUGGCUGCGCAUGGCUACUUCUUCCCCAUCUCAGACCAUGUCCUCACACUAAAGGACGAUGGAACGUUCUACAGGUUCCAGACUCCCUACUUCUGGCCCUCUAACUGCUGGGAACCAGAGAACACAGAUUAUGCUGUUUACCUCUGCAAAAGAACCAUGCAAAACAAAGCUCGUCUGGAACUGGCCGACUAUGAAGCUGAGAGCUUGGCAAGAUUACAAAGGGCAUUCGCUCGCAAAUGGGAAUUCAUAUUUAUGCAAGCAGAAGCACAAGCAAAAGUUGAUAAAAAAAGAGAUAAGAUUGAGAGGAAAAUACUUGACAGUCAAGAAAGAGCUUUUUGGGAUGUGCACAGACCAGUGCCCGGGUGUGUAAACACCACUGAAGUGGACAUAAAGAAGUCCUCCAGAAUGAAAAAUCCACACAAAACCCGGAAGUCGGUGUAUGGGCUGCAGAAUGACAUCCGUAGCCAUAGCCCCACCCAAAUCCCCACCCCCGAGGCUCGGCAGCCAACGGAAGAGGAGUUACAGGGUCAGAUCAAAUUUUGGCAAGCGCAAUUAGACAGGCAUCGUUUGAAAAUGUCCAAAGUUGCAGAAAGUUUACUGGGGUACACAGAACAGUACGUUGAGUACGACCACUUUCUCACGCCACCAGAUCCCUCCAAUCCCUGGAUCUCUGAUGACACCACUGUGUGGGAGCUGGAGGCCAGUAAGGAGCCCAGUCAGCAGAGGGUGAAGAGGUGGGCUUUCGGGAUCAACGAGGUGCUGAAAGACCAAAUAGGCAGAGAGCAGUUCCUCAAGUUCUUGGAGUCUGAGUUCAGCUCGGAAAACUUAAGGUUCUGGUUGGCGGUCCAGGGGCUGAAGAAAAGGCCGAUCCGGGAGGUUCCCACCCGGGUCCAGGAGAUCUGGCAGGAGUUCCUGGCUCCCGGGGCUCCCAGUGCCAUUAAUGUGGACUCAAAGAGCUAUGACAAAACCACUCAGAAUGUGAAGGACCCUGGGCGCUAUGCAUUUGAGGAUGCUCAGGAGCACAUCUACAAACUGAUGAAGAGCGAUUCGUACAGUCGCUUCAUCCGAUCAAGUGCCUACCAGGAGCUGCUACAGGCCAAGAAGAAGUUGGGAAACAUUCAGGAUCGCAGAACUUCAUUUGAGAAAUUCACUCGUAGCGUGGUAAGUGGACGAGCCCUGUCUUGUCUGCUGAUCUGAGAUCAGUCUGUGAAAGUAGCCGGUACUGUGGUAAGUGGAUGCAGCCCUGUCUGGUCCGCUGAUCUCAGAUCAGUCCGAGGUGGUAAUCCCAGGCCCAUCCUGUUCUCUUCCAGGUCCCACCUAACGCUUCUUCUUCCCGCCUCACCUGUGUUUCUGUGUCACCUUGCCUCCGCUUUGCUGAUCUUACUGUGCUACACCUCUUUCCUCUCAACCUUCCAGCCUACAGUUAUGCAGAAUUGUUACAUUUUUUCCACAAUAAAUUUAUUAAGCAGACAAUCAGUUUGUGUCUUAUGUAAUUAAGUAAGUGCAUAUAGUAUCUUCUGAAUGACCCUAGCCUUAAUCCUUUCUUUACCUCAGCAUACUUGAAUCUAUGCUUUCUUAGCAUAGUAUAGUAUAGUAUAUAAUUAUCAUAGAUUAAUGUUGUGUGAUGUAUUUAGUGUGCCUAUUAUUUUUCAUUCAAUACAGGGAAUGCAUUUUUUAUAUUAUGGAUACACACAUACUUGGAAACAUUUAUACAAAAUAUGAAUUUGAUUUUUUAUUUUUAUUAUGAAAGUUAAAAUCUUUUAAGAAUUCAAUUAGAACAGCACAGAAUUCAUUUUGGUUGUUAUUUUUUUUUUGUUAUAUGACUUAUUCCAUUGUUAAUAAAAUCCAAAAUUAAAUUAAAUCUGCCCAUACUUUGAAUAGUUUUAAGAGACAAUUGAAGAUUUGGUUCUCAGUAAAAUAUCAGGGAAACUUCUAUUUUAGAAAAGCUUGUAUUGUUGUGUAUGUGUUGAAUUUGUGUUGGUUUUAUAAUGUGUAAUGAGUAGCCUGUACAUGCCACACCCUUUUCCUGCCUGCCUUCUAGCCAAGUCUUCAGGACCGCAAUGGAAAUAAGUAAUGUGACUACAUUGCGAUAUUCUGAUAGAUAAAGUGCCAUAUGCAUUUCUGUGCAUUGUAUUUUAAUUUAUCAAAUAAUCUCAGCAAAUUAAUCAGUACCAGGCAAAGAACCAACAAAACGGGAAGGGGUUUGGUAAAUUUAACUGCAUGAUGGCCAGUGGUAGUUUUGCAUGGAUCCCAUUUUGGUCACAAGAGCCAAAAUGUCCUCCCUUAUGUGCACUUUCUCCUUGUCCACAGAAAAGUAAGAACUUGUUUUGAAGGAUUUUACUUCCAGGGGAAAUCGCUGACUUCAAAGAGGUUCAGCAGUCUAGUGCAGACCUGCUGAAAUGCAGUCACGCUAUAGCUCGGGAAACGGACGCUGCCAUUUAAAAAAAGUAUUUUACAGAACAUUUUCAUAGUCUAUUCUUCACCCAGAAGGAAGAUCAGAUGUUGCAUGUCUGAAGAACCAAGUUUUGAUUAUUUUUCUUUCAUUGUUUGGAAAGGCAUGUUUAACUCAUGGAUAAAGGGACAUUAAACAUACUAAUGCCUUCAAAGAAGGUAAUUGUCCCAAUCAUUUCCUGACAUAUCAAACGGGGGGGAUGGGGGGGG